UACGUAGGGGGCUAGCGUUGUCCGGAAUCAUUGGGCGUAAAGAGCGUGUAGGCGGUCCGGUAAGUCCGCUGUGAAAGUCGGGGGCUCAACCCUCGAAUGCCGGUGGAUACUGUUGGGCUAGAGUGCGGAAGAGGCGAGUGGAAUUCCUGGUGUAGCGGUGGAAUGCGCAGAUAUCAGGAGGAACACCAAUAGCGAAGGCAGCUCGCUGGGACGGUAUUGACGCUGAGGCGCGAAAGCGUGGGGAGCAAACAGG
RNAcentral lists this ribosomal RNA (253 nucleotides) under uncultured bacterium. Its description in RNAcentral is "partial 16S ribosomal RNA". It matches the Rfam family "Bacterial small subunit ribosomal RNA", at positions 524 to 776 of the family's 1533-position model. The record is from RNAcentral.